RNAcentral lists this ribosomal RNA (433 nucleotides) under uncultured bacterium. Its description in RNAcentral is "partial 16S ribosomal RNA". It matches the Rfam family "Bacterial small subunit ribosomal RNA", at positions 29 to 507 of the family's 1533-position model. The record is from RNAcentral.
AACGAACGCUGGCGGCAGGCCUAACACAUGCAAGUCGAACGAAGUCUUCGGACUUAGUGGCGCACGGGUGAGUAACACGUGGGAAUAUACCAUACGCUGGGGGAUAACAUCGGGAAACUGAUGCUAAUACCGCAUACGCCCUUCGGGGGAAAGAUUUAUCGGCGAAAGAUUAGCCCGCGUCCGAUUAGCUAGUUGGUGAGGUAAUGGCUCACCAAGGCUCCGAUCGGUAGCUGGUCUGAGAGGAUGACCAGCCACACUGGGACUGAGACACGGCCCAGACUCCUACGGGAGGCAGCAGUGGGGAAUAUUGGACAAUGGGCGCAAGCCUGAUCCAGCCAGGCCGCGUGAGUGAUGAAGGCCUUAGGGUUGUAAAGCUCUUUCACCCACGACGAUGAUGACGGUAGUGGGAGAAGAAGCCCCGGCUAACUUCGUG